AAGUAUCUUGGCCCUUGCCACACGCUGGGUUUUUCAUACAGAACCUUUAUUUCCUUGUAAAGUUUUGACUCUAAGAAGAUCUAUGAACUAUUCAUGAUGGCCAAACAUACAGCAUGUGAUUAACUGCUGUUUUGAUUUAUAGUUAUUUAAAAAAAUACAUAAAAUAUAAAAUUACAAAGUAGUCAAACUGCGGGUGGUUAGGUUAUUAACCGAACUUUGUAAAUUCCUUGAUAAAAUAGCAAAUGAUAAAAAUAAAUAGCUGUGAAAAUAAUAGCUACGUGACUAAUAUAUUAUUACCUAUUAUGUUAUCUGUAUUGUGGCUAUAUAAGAGAGUGAUUUGCUUCCCAGUCUCAUAAGCUAGCUCUCGUCUGUCCACAACAUACCUACGUUUUCAUAAUGAAGGCCGUUAUUUGUUUAUUUUUCAUCGCACUUAUUGCAAUUUCUAAUGGAGACAAGCCACAUUACGAUAUUAAUAAAGCUCCUCAAUUAUUCGAGUUGUUUAUGAAGAAUUACAAUCGUCACUACAAGAACGAGGCUGACAAAGAAGCUCAUUACCAGGCAUUUGUUGAAAAUCUGAAAACUAUCAACAGACAAAAUGCUGUAUCUUCAAGUGCAACAUAUGAUAUUAACGAAUUUGCUGACUACACACCGGAAGAACUGAAACAAAUUCAUGGUUUAUUAUCAUGAGAUAAGAAUUAGUGUACAUAAACGCUGAUUUUGUUUUAAAACAUUGGACAAGUUGAAAUCUGUCAUCAUUAUGACAACCGUCUUAUCAUGCCAAUAAAUACUGUUCUCAAA
Molecule: long non-coding RNA, 798 nt
Organism: Danaus plexippus (monarch butterfly)
Lineage: Eukaryota; Metazoa; Arthropoda; Insecta; Lepidoptera; Nymphalidae
Exons: 2
Source: RefSeq, a predicted model, not a curated record